GAUGAACGCUGGCGGCGUGCCUAAUACAUGCGAGUCGAGCGAACGGACGAGAAGCUUGCUCCUCUGACGUUAGCGGCGGACGGGUGAGUAACACGUGGAUAACCUACCUAUAAGACUGGGAUAACUUCGGGAAACCGGAGCUAAUACCGGGUAAUAUUUUGAACCGCAUGGUUCAAGAGUGAAAGACGGUCUUGCUGUCACUUAUAGAUGGAUCCGCGCUGCAUUAGCUAGUUGGUAAGGUAACGGCUUACCAAGGCAACGAUGCAUAGCCGACCUGAGAGGGUGACCGGCCACACUGGAACUGAGACACGGUCCAGACUCCUACGGGAGGCAGCAGUAGGGAAUCUUCCGCAAUGGGCGAAAGCCUGACGGAGCAACGCCGCGUGAGUGAUGAAGGUCUUCGGAUCGUAAAACUCUGUUAUUAGGGAAGAACAAAUGUGUAAGUAACUGUGCACAUCUUGACGGUACCUAAUCAGAAAGCCACGGCUAACUACGUG
RNAcentral lists this ribosomal RNA (497 nucleotides) under uncultured bacterium. Its description in RNAcentral is "partial 16S ribosomal RNA". It matches the Rfam family "Bacterial small subunit ribosomal RNA", at positions 28 to 507 of the family's 1533-position model. The record is from RNAcentral.